AUUUAAAUAGUUUAUUAAAAAUGUUGAUUUGUGGAAUCAAUGAUAAGAUUAUUUCUUUUUAAAUU
This 65-nucleotide transfer RNA is filed under the name Lipoptena sp. Its description in RNAcentral is "tRNA-His". Lineage: Eukaryota; Metazoa; Arthropoda; Insecta; Diptera; Hippoboscidae. The record is from RNAcentral.